This 255-nucleotide ribosomal RNA is filed under the name uncultured prokaryote. RNAcentral describes it as "partial 16S ribosomal RNA". It matches the Rfam family "Bacterial small subunit ribosomal RNA", at positions 524 to 776 of the family's 1533-position model. The record is from RNAcentral.
UACGUAGGGUGCGAGCGCUGUCCGGAAUUAUUGGGCGUAAAGAGCUCGUAGGCGGUCUGUCGCGUCGGUCGUGAAAACUUGGGGCUUAACCCUGAGCUUGCGGUCGAUACGGGCAUGACUGGAGUUCGGCAGGGGAGACUGGAAUUCCUGGUGUAGCGGUGAAAUGCGCAGAUAUCAGGAGGAACACCGGUGGCGAAGGCGACAUCCUGGACCAAUACUGACGCUGAGUGAGCGAAAGCCAGGGGAGCAAACGGG